UUUAAUAUGGCAGAUAAAUGCAAUAGAUUUAAAUUCUAUCAAUAAAGUAUAACUUUUAUUAAAA
Molecule: non-coding RNA, 64 nt
Organism: Culicoides brevitarsis
Lineage: Eukaryota; Metazoa; Arthropoda; Insecta; Diptera; Ceratopogonidae
Source: the annotation of a RefSeq genome assembly